This 1203-nucleotide ribosomal RNA is filed under the name uncultured bacterium. RNAcentral's name for it is "bacterial SSU rRNA". It matches the Rfam family "Bacterial small subunit ribosomal RNA", at positions 8 to 1226 of the family's 1533-position model. The record is from RNAcentral.
AGAGUUUGAUCCUGGCUCAGGAUGAACGCUGGCGGCGUGCCUAAUACAUGCAAGUCGAACGAGGUGCUUUUGUAGCAAUACGAAAGUAUCCUAGUGGCGAACGGGUGAGUAACGCGUUGGUGACCUACCCCAAAGUGUGGGAUAACAGUCCGAAAGGAUUGCUAAUACCGCAUGUGGUCUUCGGAUUUAGAAACUGAUGACUAAAGGAGCAAUUCGCUUUGGGAGGGGCCUGCGUCCCAUCAGCUAGUUAGUGAGGUAACGGCUCACCAAGGCGACGACGGGUAGGGGACCUGAGAGGGUGGCCCCCCACAAUGGAACUGAAACACGGUCCAUACACCUACGGGUGGCAGCAGUAGGGAAUAUUGCACAAUGGGCGAAAGCCUGAUGCAGCAACGCCGCGUGUGCGAUGAAGGCCUUCGGGUCGUAAAGCACUUUUCUGAGAGAUGAGAAAGGACAGUAUCUCAGGAAUAAGUCUCGGCUAACUACGUGCCAGCAGCCGCGGUAAAACGUAGGAGGCAAGCGUUAUCCGGAUUCACUGGGCGUAAAGCGCGUGCAGGUGGUUCGGUAAGUUGGGCGUGAAAUCUCCCGGCUCAACUGGGAGAGGUCGUUCAAUACUACCGAACUUGAGAGCAGAAGAGGAAGAUGGAAUUCCCGGUGUAGUGGUGAAAUGCGUAGAUAUCGGGAGGAACACCAGUGGCGAAGGCGAUCUUCUGGUCUGUUUCUGACACUCAGACGCGAUAGCUAGGGUAGUAAACGGGAUUAGAGACCCCGGUAAUCCUAGCCGUAAACGAUGUGAACUUGGCGUUGGUGGGUUAAACUCCAUCAGUGCCGUAGCAAACGCGAUAAGUUCACCGCCUGGGGACUACGGCCGCAAGGUUAAAACUCAAAGGAAUUGACGGGGGCCCGCACAAGCAGCGGAGCAUGUGGUUAAUCGACGCAACGCGAAGAACCUACCAAGGCUUGACAUGCACUGGAAAGCUCUAGAAAUUAGAGCCUCCCUCGGGGCCAGUGCACAAGGUGGUGCAUGGCUGUCGUCAGCUCGUGUCGUGAGAAUGCUGGGUUAGUCCCGCUACGAGCGCAACCUGUCUAUGUUUGCCAGGCAGUAUGUCGGGACUCAAGGAAACUGCCGGACAAUCGAGGAGGGGGUAUGAAACGUCAGUGCAGCAUGGCCAUUAUGGUUCGUGGGGCUCCACACACCGUGGU